AUGCUCUCAGGGUAGUGAGAGCAACGGCGGCACGGAGGAGAGCUACAAUGGAUAAACUAACGGGCCACGGGAGGACCGCGCUUUGAUUUAUAAUCCGUAGAGAGAUACCAUCUCUUAUGCCAUUCACGAGAGACAAGUGAAAUAAUGGUUAAGGGAUCUCACAACCUCGGAAAUAAACCACCAAUUCGACAUGGAUCUUUCCAAAACAGAGGUUUGAGCAUCGACAGCGCCUUUUAGAAACCGUAUGCCUCCGCCUGCUUCGAACGGCGAAUUUGGGAUGAGAAGCAUUUAUCGUUUUCUGUACAGACACAUGUCCUCUCUUCAUAGGUGAAUAAUCUGAUUUAAUUUCUUCGGUAAAACCUAUUCUAUAUGCUAGCCAUAUGCUUCUCAUCCUUUACCGGAACCCUUACUGUUGACUGCCACGCGGAUACGCAGCCCUCCAUUGGAUGGCAAAAGAACCAGGACAAAUUUCCUCGCAUUGAAAAGUGGAACCCAUACGAUACUCUGGCAGUAUGUACGAGGAGGAGUCGGUUGCUAUCUUUGGUUAUCUAGCUGUAUGAGUGUUACUCGGCCGUCAUAAAGCUAGCUAACCGAAUGUAGGAAUGUCCUCCAAACCUGCGACUCGGACAGGAAUAAAUGGUGUCUAGGAGUAAAGACACAAAAUAACAUAAUUGAUAUGCAAUUACAGGCCAAUACCUCAUUGCCUUUCUGGUUGAUCCAGUGCCCUUGUCACUGCAGUGGCUGCCUGAGAUACACCCACAAACUCUGCAGUAUGAACAGCACAAACUGUCUACUAAAUGUGACUGCCAGCCAUUCACACCAGGUCUGGAUUGAGCAAGGGAAAAGUGGCACAGUCGUCACAAAAAAGGAGAAAGCAGGAGGGGAAGAAAAAGGCCAACCCCCUUGUCCCUCUUCCCUUAAAUCUCCAUCACCGGAAGCCUUUGGUGCCAUCUGUGCCCCUGGAGAAAAGGACGGGCGAGAUGCCUCCACCCUGUGCCAACGGGGACAAAGGAGCUGCCAGUUAGAGCGGCCCCCCUCGCAGGCAGCCAGAGGACUCUGUGUGACUGACUGGGGCUGAGCUACGGAAGCCAUCUUGAUGGAGAGUCUUGCUGCUGCUCCUAAAAUGGCUGUGUUGGCAUGAGGUCCUGCAGGUGUUGACAACCUCUAGGGGAAGACUCUUCCAUCAGCCCUGAGCCCUGGGCCCUGAAGCCUGAGCCCUGGGCCCUUCCUCAUUGGCAUCCUCUCCAGUCAAACACUGAGAAAUGAGGGCACUGAAUAAUCCCCCCUAAAGUUAACAGACAAUGCUUGUAGAAAUUUACUGUAAGGACAAUAUUUGGAGAUAUUUACUGUAAGGACAAUGUUUGGAGAAAUUUACUGUAAGGACAAUAUUUGGAGAUAUUUACUGUAAGGACAAUAUUUGGAGAUAUUUACUGUAAGGACAAUGUUUGGAGAUAUUUACUGUAAGGACAAUGUUUGGAGAUAUUUACUGUAAGGACAAUGUUUGGAGAUAUUUACUGUAAGGACAAUGUUUGGAGAUAUUUACUGUAAGGACAAUGUUUGGAGAUAUUUACUGUAAGGUCAAUGUUUGGAGAAAUGUACUGUAAGGACAAUGUUUGGAGAUAUUUACUGUAAGGACAAUGUUUGGAGAUAUUUACUGUAAGGACAAUGUUUGGAGAUAUUUACUGUAAGGACAAUGUUUGGAGAUAUGUACUGUAAGGACAAUGUUUGGAGAAAUGUACUGUAAGGACAAUGUUUGGAGAAAUGUACUGUAAGGACAAUGGACAACAGAGGACAACAGAUUAUCUGAUGAUAUAUUGCACGGCUGAGAGUCUAUAGUUUCAACAUAAGUUUUAACAUUACAGCAGAAUGUAAGACAAUGUGUGUAUGAUGUGAAAUCAAAGGGGAUGAGAUCAACAUGUGUUCAUACCUUAAUCUAAGGACAGGUGUGUGUGUGUGUGGUGCGUGUGUGCGUGUGUGUGAAUGUGCGUGUGUGUGGGAGGGGGGUACUCUUUAGAGUACUCUGGAGUGUACUGGGCUUCAGACAAGCACUACAGUGCCCUAAUGUGUGGGCUGUUUACAAGAGAAGCUCUCUGGAUGUCUAUCCUCUGUCAUGUGCAAUUAGUUACUUUAUGAAUAGAACUGUCUACUCUAUGCAAAUAAAUGUGAAUGACUCAACCUCUGGCUGUAUUGCAAAUGUUGUUUAAUGUUUGACUGUCACAGUGAAAAGAAAGACAUUGUUUGGUGAAGAUUCCAUCCAUUUACUGUAUAUCCAUCAAAUGCUGCAUUUUUCCUAUUACAAAUAUUAUCUGCAUGCGUUCAUAGUGAUCAGGGAAUGUUCUACAUGAAAUGUGUUAGAUACAGUAUUGAAGCAGUCAGAUUAAUAGCCGUCUCAUUGCCUGAUUUUUAUUAUUAUCCUUAUUCAGAGAGAUAGACAGUUUUGAACAUACCUGCAAUAAAGAAAGGGACACAUAUUUGUACACAAACGUCUUACAAAACAUGUUGUUGUAAUUGAGUUCUGACUUGUCAUGACUUCUGUGCUGUUUGAAUUGAAUGUGUAUACAGAAUAAAUAAUACAACAGAUGUCUAAAAUA
Molecule: long non-coding RNA, 2591 nt
Organism: Oncorhynchus kisutch (coho salmon)
Lineage: Eukaryota; Metazoa; Chordata; Actinopteri; Salmoniformes; Salmonidae
Exons: 5
Source: RefSeq, a predicted model, not a curated record